RNAcentral lists this ribosomal RNA (565 nucleotides) under uncultured Glomeromycotina. RNAcentral's name for it is "SSU rRNA". It matches the Rfam family "Eukaryotic small subunit ribosomal RNA", at positions 548 to 1114 of the family's 1831-position model. The record is from RNAcentral. Lineage: Eukaryota; Fungi; Glomeromycota.
UUGGAGGGCAAGUCUGGUGCCAGCAGCCGCGGUAAUUCCAGCUCCAAUAGCGUAUAUUAAAGUUGUUGCAGUUAAAAAGCUCGUAGUUGAAAUUCGAAAUUUGUCCUAUGGUCGGGCUUUACGGUCCGUACAGUAGUGGCGAAUUUCUACCUUCUGAAGAACCUUCAUGCCAUUAAUUUGGUGUGUUGGGAAAUCAGGACUGUUACUUUGAAAAAAUUAGAGUGUUUAAAGCAGGCUAUAGUCUGGAUACAUUAGCAUGGAAUAAUGAAAUAGGACGUUCGAUCCUAUUUUGUUGGUUUCUAGGAUGACGUAAUGAUUAAUAGGGAUAGUUGGGGGCAUUAGUAUUCAAUUGUCAGAGGUGAAAUUCUUGGAUUUAUUGAAGACUAACUACUGCGAAAGCAUUUGCCAAGGAUGUUUUCAUUAAUCAAAAACGAAAGUUAGGGGAUCGGAGACGAUCAGAUACCGUCGUAGUCUUAACCAUAAACUAUGCCGACUAGGGAUCGGAUGAUGUUAAUUUUUUAAUGACUCAUUCGGCGCCUUACGGGAAACCAAAGUGUUUGGGUUC